RNAcentral lists this ribosomal RNA (484 nucleotides) under uncultured bacterium. RNAcentral's name for it is "partial 16S ribosomal RNA". It matches the Rfam family "Bacterial small subunit ribosomal RNA", at positions 30 to 507 of the family's 1533-position model. The record is from RNAcentral.
AUUGAACGCUGGCGGCAGGCCUAACACAUGCAAGUCGAGCGGAUGAAGGGAGCUUGCUCCUGGAUUCAGCGGCGGACGGGUGAGUAAUGCCUAGGAAUCUGCCUGGUAGUGGGGGAUAACGUCCGGAAACGGGCGCUAAUACCGCAUACGUCCUGAGGGAGAAAGUGGGGGAUCUUCGGACCUCACGCUAUCCGAUGAGCCUAGGUCGGAUUAGCUCGUUGGUGGGGUAAAGGCCUCCCAAGGCGACGAUCCGUAACUGGUCUGAGAGGAUGAUCAGUCACACUGGAACUGAGACAGGGUCCAGACUCCUACGGGAGGCAGCAGGGGGUGAGAUUGUAUGAGGGGCGAAAUCCUGAGCCAGCCAUGUGGCGUGUGGGAAGAAGGUCUUCGGAUUGUAAAGCACUUUAAGUUGGGAGGAAGGGCAGGAAGUUAAUACCUUGAUGUUUGGACUUUACAAAAAGAAUAAGCACCGGCUAACUUCGUG